RNAcentral lists this ribosomal RNA (453 nucleotides) under uncultured bacterium. RNAcentral's name for it is "bacterial SSU rRNA". It matches the Rfam family "Bacterial small subunit ribosomal RNA", at positions 340 to 786 of the family's 1533-position model. The record is from RNAcentral.
UACGGAAGGCAGCAGGGGGAAUAUUGCACAAUGGGCGCAAGCCUGAUGCAGCCAUGCCGCGUGUAUGAAGAAGGCCUUCGGGUUGUAAAGUACUUUCAGUCGUGAGGAAGGUGUUAAGGUUAAUAACCUUAGCAAUUGACGUUAGCGACAGAAGAAGCACCGGCUAACUCCGUGCCAGCAGCCGCGGUAAUACGGAGGGUGCGAGCGUUAAUCGGAAUUACUGGGCGUAAAGGGCACGCAGGCGGUUAAUUAAGUUGGAUGUGAAAUCCCCGGGCUUAACCUGGGAAUGGCAUUCAAGACUGGUUAGCUAGAGUCUUGUAGAGGGGGUAGAAUUCCAUGUGUAGCGGUGAAAUGCGUAGAGAUGUGGAGGAAUACCGGUGGCGAAGGCGGCCCCUGGGACAAAGACUGACGCUCAUGUGCGAAAGCGUGGGGAGCAAACAGGGAUUAGAUACC